CGCCGCGGUGCCCUCCGGGCUCCUCAGGGCGCCCGGCGGUGACCGCCCGGGGGGAGCGGCGGGAGGCCCCGCGGGUGCCCGGAGCAGCGGAACGCGCCGAGCUGUGCUCAGAGGGGGCGGGGGGGGCCCUGCCCGCGGCCCCUCAGGCACAAAGGGCGAGGCCGGCGGCACGGCCCCGCUGGCUGGGGAAUAGCGAGGCCGCUCAGUAACAGCCCGCUGCGUGCUCCUGGUACUGCCCAGGGCUCCGCCGCCCGCAGCAUGUGGCCUUUAGAGCUCGCUACGGCCCCGAGCCAACCGCGCGUGAGCUCGGGAGAGGAGGGAACGCGGGGCGCAGGACGAGCACAGCCGCUUCCAGCGUCCUCUCGGGAGCGCUGAGCUGCUGCCCUUCAGGGCAGGCAGCAGCACCAAGCAGCGCCCUGCCGUGCUGCAGCCGCGUUACGGGUCUGGUGAUAGAAAUAAAUGGGCCAGUGGAGGUCCAGGUCUGCUCAGACUGUGCCCAGAUGAUUAAUUUUCUUUGUCUGAAGCAUCACGAAUGCAGCGUUUACAGUGACUGAUUGCCACAAAGCACUUUUAAGCCGUUUCAGACACAAAAUGAGCCCGUCCAGUUUGCCCUGCUGUAAUCUGCAAAUCUGUAAUUCCCACAGGAGGGAGGGCAGGCCCCUUCUCUUCCAAGGCAGAAUCAUUCUGAUGAAGUGCACCAUUUUUUAUUUUUACUUCCAAAGUUUAUACGUGGGGUUUGAUACUGCCAAAUCCUUCCUGCGGGAUGUAAUCAGGCCAUUACGCUACAGUGUGCUUAAUAUGUUCUGACAUGACAUAAAAAUACAGCCAUGUAUGUCAUGUAUGUUGAGAGUGUACUAUACAAUAAACUCAUCUCAGUUUUUGUUUAAUCCCGUUUCUUCAGUCAAAUUUGAAACAUUUGCUAAACAGAUAUUUCAAUCAUCAACUUGAAUUAGUAAAUUAAAAAGUUAUCAAUCAUCUUACUACAGAGUAAAAUAAAAACUGAAAAUAAAUCCAGCUGCUGAAACAAG
This is a non-coding RNA of Anas platyrhynchos (mallard), 1028 nucleotides long. The record is from RefSeq and is a predicted model, not a curated record. Lineage: Eukaryota; Metazoa; Chordata; Aves; Anseriformes; Anatidae.